RNAcentral lists this ribosomal RNA (252 nucleotides) under uncultured bacterium. RNAcentral's name for it is "partial 16S ribosomal RNA". It matches the Rfam family "Bacterial small subunit ribosomal RNA", at positions 524 to 776 of the family's 1533-position model. The record is from RNAcentral.
UACGGAGGAUGCGAGCGUUAUCCGGAUUUAUUGGGUUUAAAGGGUGCGCAGGCGGCACGGCAAGCCGGCGGUCAAAUCGCGGGGCUCAACCCCGCCCAGCCGUCGGAACUGCCGGGCUAGAGUGGGCGAGAAGUGCGCGGAAUGCGUGGUGUAGCGGUGAAAUGCAUAGAUAUCACGCAGAACUCAGAUUGCGAAGGCAGCGCACCGGCGCCCUACUGACGCUCAGGCACGAAAGCGUGGGUAUCGAACAGG